This is a small nuclear RNA of Anolis carolinensis (green anole), 57 nucleotides long. Its record names the gene U2. It matches the Rfam family "U2 spliceosomal RNA". From Rfam's summary of the family: U2 is a small nuclear RNA (snRNA) component of the spliceosome (involved in pre-mRNA splicing). Complementary binding between U2 snRNA (in an area lying towards the 5' end but 3' to hairpin I) and the branchpoint sequence (BPS) of the intron results the bulging out of an unpaired adenosine, on the BPS, which initiates a nucleophilic attack at the intronic 5' splice site, thus starting the first of two transesterification reactions that mediate splicing. Lineage: Eukaryota; Metazoa; Chordata; Lepidosauria; Squamata; Anolidae. The record is from Ensembl.
UCAAGUGUAGUAUCUGUUCUUAUCAGUUUAAUAUCUGAUAGUAUUGAAGAGUGUUAC